GAACAUCCUUUAAUUUGCUUGACAUAUUUGUCCACCAAGAAAGGAAGGUGUACACUGAAUUUUCCAUGCUUAUUCGUCUUCACUUCCUGUUGGUAAAGAAUGAGAAUUACCAAGAGGAGACAGUUGGGUCCUUGUUGGUUCACGAGACCUCUGUAGGACUUACAAAAUUCUUGAUAUUAUGAAAUUAUGAUACGGUUGGUCCAAUUUGCUUGCGCACAAAGGCAAAGGUGGAUUCAGGAUUCAAAUUCUAACUUUUAAGAUUUUAUAUUGAACCCAUUAUAUUUUUAAAGUUAUGCAUUUAUAUCUAAUAUUUGUUAUAAUUUUAUUGAAUUUUUACACAUAAAUUUAUGUUCCACGUCAAAAAUACUAGAUUCAGAUGAACUCGGUACUGUAAGGGUGGAUCCGCCCUGCACAGGGGGAGCAACAUGGUUCGAAGGAGUUCAAUUGAUUUCUUUCAUUAAAAAAUUACGUUGUACAAAAUAGAAUAGACCUACAAAAUAGUAUGGGUCUUGGUUAUCCAACUUUUAAGCUGGUAGAGGCCACGAGAUUGUUGCUUA
Molecule: long non-coding RNA, 557 nt
Organism: Nicotiana attenuata
Lineage: Eukaryota; Viridiplantae; Streptophyta; Magnoliopsida; Solanales; Solanaceae
Exons: 2
Source: RefSeq, a predicted model, not a curated record